AGGAGGGAUGGGGUGGGGGAAGUACCUGACCCGAAGGCUAAAAUUCAGUGUCCACUACCCGGAAGGCGGCACCCCCUGCGGGAGAGGAGACAGCGUUCACCGUGCAGCCGGGGGGGGGGGCAGCAGGGUCUGGGGGGGACGUCUUCAAGGGG
Molecule: long non-coding RNA, 152 nt
Organism: Dermochelys coriacea (leatherback sea turtle)
Lineage: Eukaryota; Metazoa; Chordata; Testudines; Dermochelyidae
Exons: 4
Source: RefSeq, a predicted model, not a curated record